Long non-coding RNA from Cygnus olor (mute swan), 1366 nucleotides. RefSeq lists it as uncharacterized. The record is from RefSeq and is a predicted model, not a curated record. NCBI's taxonomy places the organism in Eukaryota, Metazoa, Chordata, Aves, Anseriformes, Anatidae. The transcript is spliced from 5 exons.
GCUUCAACUUGAAUUCUGAAUUAGGUUCUUGUAGUGUGAACAGUGUUCUGAAUAUUUACAUAUUUUUUUCUUAGCAGAGCAUUGUCCUAAAAUGUGCUAUGUUUCUGGAUUGCCAUAAUUGCUCUGUAGGAGACAUUUGAAUCUCUCAGGCAGAGCUUCCUACUGAAAUCAAUGGAAGGUUUGCUUAAAAAUCAAUUGGAAGGUUUGGCCCUGAAACUUAAGACAAUGGGGGCUCCUCAAUCAUAUCAAGAGAAGUGAUUAAGAUACCACAAACAAACUGCUAAUCCACACGUAAAGGAACAUGUGCUACUCUAAAAGCAACCAUCUCUACCAGUGUGUAACUCUGUUUAACUUUGGUGGGAGCUUUGCCUGGAAAAGUGCAGUAGAAUCAAGUACUAAAUGUGAAGCAAUGUCAUCGGAAUUAUUAAUCAAACAUUUGUUGCUGAACUAAGGUCACUUACCAAGAGCAGAUUGGUCUUUAAAUAAACUACACAGGCAACAUCGCUGAUUUCUUGGUUCAAAGAACUUCUGGUCCUUGGGGAUUGGGAAAGCAAGAAAUGAAUGUGAACGUUCAGAGCAUCAAACUGCAUGUUCCCAAAAGGACAGACUAAACUGAUGAAACAAUUCCCAAUCUUUCUCAAAAGGCCUUUUGGACCUUCAAAAAGCUGACUGGGUUUUGACAUGCAUAACAGGGAUUUACAGAAUUACUCCUUUGGGAAGUAAGGAAGUGGAAGUACAGAUUGCUUUUGGAUAUUCCAAGCCUCCUCGACCUUAAUUGUUACAUUUUGGUUCUUCUUGAGCUGAAACGAGGAAUAUAGUGUGUCUCUGCUACUACACAUAUCAUCACCUCUGCGUCAAGCAAGAACAUAGCAGCAGCAAGUCAACAUUGAAAUCACGUUAAUGAUGUGCUGAACAAGAAAGCUGGAGAAUCCAGAGGCAAGGCAGUCCCUAAUCCUGUUGCUGGCUGUAGGAUUCCCAGCUGUCAGAAAUCAAGGAUCCAGGCACAGUGCAGCUUAAACAUCAUGGUCAGAGAGAGGCUGACAGCACAGUACCUGUACAUUUUGAAAACAGGUUUGUGGGAAAUGAAUACUUCCUGUGCUGUGUAUAGUGAUGCCGGGUGACGUAGCCUGUGCAUUCAAAUUCAAUGACCUCUUCAACCAUGUGCUAUUAUACUUGGGGUCCAGAGGCUACAGCCUGAGCUAAUGUACCAAUGUUUAACCCCAGAAAUGAACGACAAAGAAAAGCAAGUCUUGUAAUCUAUGUGGAAUGCCAAUAAAAUGCAUUUUCAGUCUUGAAAUUGUCACUGCAUCUUCUGUAAAGAACACAGAAAUAUUUUCAUGUCAGUAAAGCCUACAGCAUGUGUCAG